UGCCACAGCCAUGUCACCCUGCAGCCCAAGACCGGUUACUCACUGAAGCUAAGCAGGGCCUGAGCCUGGUCGGUACCUGGAUGGGAGACCACUAGGGAACACUAGGUUGCUGUUGGAA
RNAcentral lists this ribosomal RNA (118 nucleotides) under Danio rerio (zebrafish). Lineage: Eukaryota; Metazoa; Chordata; Actinopteri; Cypriniformes; Danionidae. The record is from RNAcentral.